AGGCAUAAAAUGCAGGCUUGUCAAUUGUCAUAGUCAAACACGCAGAUGUUAAACUUCUUUCAGAUCUGGUAAACCAAGGAUUUUCUUCCAGACCAUAGAAAGUAUAUAAGAUUGCUGGGAAGAAUCUUCAGGCUAUGUUUUUCAUAGCCAUGAGUGCCAAAAAUGUAAAUACAUGGGAUGCAUCAUGUAUGCCAGGAAAAGGUGAUAUGAUAGACACAAAUCCAAUGGAAGUUACCUGCACUUAAUGACCGAGUUAUGA
RNAcentral lists this unclassified non-coding RNA (259 nucleotides) under Hevea brasiliensis (rubber tree). The record is from RNAcentral. Lineage: Eukaryota; Viridiplantae; Streptophyta; Magnoliopsida; Malpighiales; Euphorbiaceae.